CAUAGAACAGAACAAUAAUAUGUUACAGAAUUAUAACAUAGAACAGAACAAUAACAUGGAACAAAAUAGUAAUAUAGAACAAAAUUGGAAUGAGCAUGGUAUUAUGGGUAAUGUAUUUAAAAACGAACUUAUCGAAAAUGUUGUUACGAUUAAUGAACAAGUUAAUAAUAAUAUAACAGCAAAUAAUCAGAAUAUUGAAAUGGUUAACACUGUUGUUAAUAUGGGUGGGGAGAAUGAUGGUACUAUUAUUACAACCCCUACUGAUGUUAUUACACCCCCCACUGAUGUUAUUACACCCCCUGCUGAUGUGACUAAUUCCGAUGAUGAUGUGACUAGUACACUUCCAAAUAAAUCAGAUGAAAUAUUAUUAAAUCAAAAUGAAGAGGUAGUUAAUGGUACAUUAAAUGAUUAUACUUAUGAAAACAAACAUGAUGAAAAAUCAGAAAAUAAGGAUAGUUUUUCUUUUAAAUUAGAAGAUGAUAAAAAUUUAAAUGAAAGUAAGUUAGAUAGACGUGUAACAUGGGAAGUAAACAAAGAAGAUAUUAAAGAAGAUAGUGAUGGAGAAAAAAAUAGUAAUAGCAAUAGCGAAAACAGUAAGAAAAGCCAUAGCGAAGAAAGUAGUAAUUUCGCUGACGAAAACAAUAGUAAUGAUGGUGACGAAAACAGUAGUAAUGAUGGUGACGAAAACAGUAGUAAUGAUGGUGACGAAAACAAUAGUAAUGAUGGUGACGAAAACAGUAGUAAUGAUGGUGACGAAAACAGUAGUAAUGAUGGUGACGUAAACGAUUAUCAAAACAACAGUGAUUAUUCAGUGUCGGAAAAAAUAAAUAAAAGUAAAAGUAAAAAUUUGAUAAAACUAAAUAACAGUUAUAAAUCAAAUAAUAAAUAUGAAUAUGACUCAAAUAACUCAUCAGGUUAUGAUAGUAUAGAUUCUAAUUUGAUUAUUAAUAUUUUAAAAUACGAUAAACAAAAAGAUAAUAAAGAUACUAUUAAAAAUGAUUUAGAGAAACUUUUGUCAUGUAAUAAUAAUUGUUCUGUUGAAAAUCACAACGAAGAAAAAAAGUUGUUUAUAAAUCAUGUUCAAAUGCUAUGUUAUUUAAUAAAACAUAAAAAAAUUAAUAGUAAUAAAAAUAUAAUGAAAACAUGGGAAAAAAAAAAAUAUGAUUUUAAAUGUUGUCAACUUCAAAAAGCAUAUAAAAUAUUUUUAACAAUUAUAUAUUCAAUUGUUAAAGAAAUUAAAAAGUUAAGAAAAGAAUUAAAAUGUAUGCGUAAUUAUAUAUUUAUUAACUUAGACAUUGAAAAAUAUUUAAAUGAAAAUAACAUGUCUAUUAUUAAAAACAAAAUUAAUGACGUUAAUGAUGUUGUAAAAAAUGGGAGUAGUAAAGAUAAUCGUGAAAAUAAUAGUAAUAGUUAUAGUAACAAUAUAAUAACAGAUUUUUUUUUAAAAAAAAACUUCUGUACAACUAUAAAUGGAAAGGAAUGUGAAAAAAAAAAAAUAUAUAUCUCAUAUGUAUCAUUAGACAAUUAUCAAAUAUUGUUUUAUAGUUUAAAAGAUAUAGUACGUAUAAAAAAUAUUCAAAAACAUUUGAAAAAAAUUUCAUAUUACAUAGAGUACAAUAUUGAUGAAGGUGUUACACCUAGUAUCGCACCGACAAGUGCCGUAGGUACUUUUACUCAUUCUACAAAUUUUACAAAUACUGGUAUGGAUGUUGUUACAAAUAGUGACGCUGAUAAUGGUAAUAAAAAUAAAACAACAACUAGUACAGGCAUAGGUACAGGUAUAGGUACGGGCACAGGCACAGGUAUGGGUACCUCAAGAAACGUAAAUAUCCCCAAUUAUUGUAGUAUGUUUUAUGAAAAGUUUAAAAUAAAAGAGUACGAUUUAUACCAUAUUCAAAGUUUAUUUAAUUGUUCUAUACCGACAGUAGAAUGUAUGAACAUGUUUAUUUCUUGCUUAAACUGUAAUUAUAAAAAAGUUUAUCAAAAAAAAAAUAUUUUACAAAAUGAGUUGAGUGCUGACUACUUAUAUACACUCCCUUCUGUAUAUUGUUGUGAAAUACAAAUAAUAAAACAUCAAGAUUUUAUAGAUUUAAAAGAAACAUGUCAAAAUUUAAUUAAAAAAAAAAAUAUAUACGAAAAAUUAUUAUAUCAUAAGAGGACAUAUAUAUAUGAUGACUGUUAUUUUAUCAUUCCGUUUUUUACAUCUUAUGGUAACUUUUUAAUAAUAAUUCAAAUAAAUAAAAAAGGAAGUUUAAAUAGUUCAACAAGAGAUACAAACCUAUUUACUUAUGAUUUUAUAAUUAACAGUUAUGUUUUUCCUAAUAAUAGUAGCUUUCAAGCAAUUGUGCAUUUUACCUACUCUUUUAUCAAGUCAUUAAAAAAAUGUUUCAAAACCAGAAAGUCGGAUGAAAAUGUCCCUAACAUAACAUAUUUGAAUCUCCCACACGUAAACAAGGAAAAACUUAUAUACAAAGUAAUGAAACUAUGUAAAAA
This is a long non-coding RNA of Piliocolobus tephrosceles (Ugandan red Colobus), 2493 nucleotides long. The record is from Ensembl. Lineage: Eukaryota; Metazoa; Chordata; Mammalia; Primates; Cercopithecidae.